GGGUGUGAUCAUACCAGCGUUAAUGCAACAGAUCCCAUUAGAACUCUGAAGUUAAGCGCGGUUGAGCUAUAGUAGUAUUGGGAUGGGUGACCUCCCAGGAAGUCAUAGUGUUGCACCCU
Picea glauca (white spruce) is the source of this 119-nucleotide non-coding RNA. The record is from Rfam. Lineage: Eukaryota; Viridiplantae; Streptophyta; Pinopsida; Pinales; Pinaceae.